AAGUAGACACAAUUAAACAUGAAGGAUUGUGAAGGCAAAAGAUGAACCAGCCAGCUGUAGUCUCUGGAUGCAUAAGCUCCAAGUGUGGAGGAGACCCGGAGAGAAAAGCAGACUGUUCUCUCUGUUUACCUGUAAACACAGGCCGCAACCUACCAUGCUGUUUUUAAAUGCCCAAGGGCUGGUGACAAGAGGGUUUCCCUUUGCCAUCUGGACCUGACUGCCUUAGAGGUAAAGAUUCAAUACCCUUAAGAAGUUAGAUUCUAAAAGAUUAUAAAUUGGUGCCAUUGCUUUUGAUUGCAAUUGAUCAAUUUCCGGAUAGAGAUUGCACAAUCCAUGAAGACACACAACACUCUCAGAAGUCACUGCUCCAUGCUGUGCCCUCAUCCCUGCCUGCGAGCUCGGUAUCUCUACCUCCCACCUUGCUAACCAGCACCUCUGCCUUCACUCAGGGCGCUCAGGGCAUAGGUGUAAGCCACUCAAAAACAGUUCUUGAAAUCUCAAGUUCAAUACUGGCCUCCUAAAUCCUAGCGAUUCCCAGAGGAGUGAGAGGUGGGAGGUGGCAAGGAUG
This 568-nucleotide long non-coding RNA is filed under the name Pongo abelii (Sumatran orangutan). RNAcentral's name for it is "lincRNA". Lineage: Eukaryota; Metazoa; Chordata; Mammalia; Primates; Hominidae. The record is from RNAcentral.